GUGCAGCUUCGGACCCAAGUACAUGGUUGGAACUUUCAUUGUACAAUGCAUUUGGUUCUGCUUUGAAAAGAAUUACAGAGCUGAGUCUAUGUACCAUAUUAUAUAAAAGGUUAAGUGGUUGUUAGGACCUAGUCCGUAAUUGAGAUCCUUGUCAGAUAUUCCUGGCCAUAUGUUUUCCUUUUUGUCAUAUUAAGAAUUGUUUUAAUUUAAUAUGUUCGUACGGAAAACAAGGAACAUUAUUCUCAUACAAAAAAUUAAGAUAAUUCUAAAUACACAUUCAUAAAAAGAAUGGAAUUUAUUACAAAGGAUAAUCAUAAGAUAUACUUGAAUUGUCCUGGACCUCACUUCUGUGAUGGGUAUAUGUUAAUGGAAUCCUUCUCUGAAUACGGGACAAACAUAUUAGUAGUGGUAGACCCCAAUGGCCAAUGAUCUUCAAUUUAUACCGAAUAUUGACUGUCAAAAAAAAAUGCUAACAUUCCAAUUUUCAAUAACAGUUAACAGCAAAUACAUUAUCACAAUAACAGAUAACAAAAAAACUAAAAGCCCAAUAACAGCUAACAAAGAAUAAGACAAUAACAGCUAACAGCAAAUAUAUUUUCAAAAUAACAGUUAACAAAGAAUUAAAUUGCCCCAUAACAGCAUAACAGUUAAACCCCUUGCCCCCCCUC
This 668-nucleotide long non-coding RNA is filed under the name Mytilus galloprovincialis (Mediterranean mussel). Lineage: Eukaryota; Metazoa; Mollusca; Bivalvia; Mytilida; Mytilidae. The record is from RNAcentral.